UGGUCAAUCAUCAAGAGCUCAAUUUUCGAAGCAAGCGUGAGUAUAAAUGCAGCACCUUUCCUGUCAAGCUUUCCUUUUCACUUCCCUCAAGUACCCAUCUCUCUCCAAUUCAUUUACUCCGCUCUCUCAUAUUUCUCUCUCUCUCUAGUUUUCUUGAUUGCUGACUGUCCAUUAAUAAUGUUUCGAACUGCGGACGAAAAAAAAUUCAAGAAAUAAGCGUUUUGUUCAGUGAUAAAGAAAGGGCUAUGCAAUUUCAAGACCGCGUAAAGAAGUACUAAAAGUAGCACUCAAUAGGAAAUGUGAUAAAGAAAGGGCUAUGCAAUUUCAAGACCGUGUAAAGAAGUAUUAAAAGUAGCACUCAAUCUGAAAUGGGUGUAAAUUGAUUCUUGAAGAAGACUGCAAGGAGGUUUUUCCUACUCUUUUGGGGAUAGCUUCUUACCCUUUGAAAGAAAAAUAUGAAUAUUGCUGGUAAGGAUACUAACAUGGAGCCAGAAAAGGGCAAUGAGAAUCCUAUAAACUACCAUGCAACUAAUAUGUCUUCAGAUUGGCCUUUAAAUGACAAUAAUCUUAUCGGCACAUCAAUAGGAGUUAUUCCCACAGGCAACUCAAAUGUGGAGUCCUUUGCUUGUUCCUCUGCAUUGAUGGCAGAUUCAUCUUGCCCUCAGAUUUGGAACCAACCCGUAAGUGGACAGAGUUUAGGCUAUUGUGAUGUGAAUGUUCAAAAUAUUGCUAGGACUUCAGAUAAUUUUGGUCCAACAAGUGGUGGUACAGGAUGGAUUCCUGAUGCAAUGUUAAGGGAGUGUGUGUAUUUGCCUACUGUUCCAGGGAUGGUUCCUCAGAGCAUGCCUCACUUUCCGGCUGAUUCGGGUUUUAUUGAAAGAGCAGUGAGGUUUCCGUGUUUCAGCGGAGGGAAUUUUGGUGACACCCUGAAUCCAUAUCGCGUUCCUGAAAAUUUGAAUUCUUAUUCUCAUAUUUUAGCAUCAACGCAAGGGCAACACGAUGUAUUUGCCAGUGGUGGAAGAAAUAUGAACACGACUGGAAGUUCCAAGGCGGUGUUUCUACCUUCGGAGUAUGGAAUUGAAGGGAGCCCGCUCAAGAAUAAGAAAACGAUAGAAAUUUUACCCAUCUCUCGCGAUGAAGAAAAACAAGGAGUUGGUAUGUUGGCUAACGAUUCCAAUGAGGUUGAAUUUAGCAGCAGAGGUGAUCAGGAAGAGUUGGAGGGUUCACCCGGGGAGUCUUCUGGUAAAGGACUUGGCUCUAAGAAGAGGAAGAGUACUGAACAGAAUAGGGAACUUAAUGAAAACAAUCGAGCCCUGGAACCCUCAGUCGAGACAGCAAAGGACGAUGCUGAAAUUCAACACAAGAGUGACUCUGGAAAACAUGGAAAGCAUGGAUCGCAAGGGUCAGAUUUGCCCAAGGAAGAAUACAUACGUGUUCGAGCACGCAGAGGCCAGGCAACAAAUAGCCAUAGUCUUGCUGAAAGACUGAGGAGGGAGAAGAUUAGUGAAAGGAUGAAGUUUCUUCAGGAUCUUGUGCCUGGUUGCAGCAAGGUUACGGGAAAAGCAGUUAUGCUGGAUGAAAUCAUCAAUUAUGUGCAAUCACUGCAACGACAGGUUGAGUUCCUCUCAAUGAAGCUUGCAACAUUAAAUCCGCGGCUGACCUUCAAUAUCGAAGGGUUCCUUACCAAAGAUCAGAUCAUUCAGUCGCACAUUGGUUCGUCAUCUUUACUUCCUUUUCCACCUGAUAUGAUCCUGCCUCAUCCUCUAUUACAUCAAACUCCACAUCAACCUCCACCUGGACUAAUUCAACCUGGUCUUUCGAACUUGGGAAACUCUUCAAAUGCACUUCGGAGAUCUAUCAACUCCCCAUUUACCGCUGCCUUUAAAGAAUCCACAUCCCGAGGACCAAACUUAUAGGAAGAUGAGCUUCAUAAUGUUGUUCAGAUGGGCAUAAACUCAGGUGCUCCUCUUAGUAGCCAAUAUUUAACUGAUUCUUUGCCUCGAGGCCACAUUAAAGCCGAACCUUGAUAGCUUUUUACUCUGGAGUACCUGAGCAUGUAAAUUUAUUCAUGAAAAAAUAAUGGUAAUCAUAUAGUCUUCCUACAAGAGCUUGUCCUGGUUAGACGCGUUUUAGCUUACCACCGUGAUGUUGAAGCGCGACUUACAGAUUCUUGAAUUUGUUCCGAAUAUGAUACCAGACGUACUUGACCUUAUCCAUGCUCGUAUGCAACAUCUGGACAUGUUCAAGUUAAUAGUUCUGAACAAACUAGUAAUGUAAAUUGAGACACAUUAAGAUAUGAUUGCGAGACUA
RNA transcript from Olea europaea var. sylvestris, 2310 nucleotides. It is a transcript of the gene named transcription factor bHLH49-like, with no coding region annotated. The record is from RefSeq and is a predicted model, not a curated record. NCBI's taxonomy places the organism in Eukaryota, Viridiplantae, Streptophyta, Magnoliopsida, Lamiales, Oleaceae. The transcript is spliced from 10 exons.